Molecule: ribosomal RNA, 468 nt
Filed under: uncultured bacterium
Lineage: Bacteria
Description: partial 16S ribosomal RNA
Rfam family: Bacterial small subunit ribosomal RNA
Source: RNAcentral
GACGAACGCUGGCGGCGUGCUUAACACAUGCAAGUCGAACGGGAAGGCCCGGCUUUUGUGGGGUGCUCGAGUGGCGAACGGGUGAGUAGCACGUGAGUACCCUGCAAUUGCCUUUGAGAUAUCUUCAGGCAACUGGGGCUAAUCCCGGCUAGGAGCUACUGCUGCAUGGUGGGGGUGGGAUGGAUUAGGUGGUUGGGGAUGGAAUCGCGUCUCAUUAGCUUGUUGGUUGGGUAGUGGCUUAGCAAGGCUAGGACGCGUAGCCGGGCUGAGAGGGUGAGCGGCCACACUAGGACGGAGAUAAGGCACAGACUACAAUGGUACGCAGCGGUGGAGAAGAGUACACUGUGGGCGGAGGCCUGAUGCAGCACCGCCGCGUGCGGGAUGACGGGCUUCGGGUUGGAUAGCGCAGUUGCCUUUGUCGAAGCGUGAGUGACGGUAACGGGUAAAGAAGCACCGGCUAACUACGUG